RNAcentral lists this ribosomal RNA (301 nucleotides) under uncultured bacterium. RNAcentral's name for it is "partial 16S ribosomal RNA". It matches the Rfam family "Bacterial small subunit ribosomal RNA", at positions 509 to 807 of the family's 1533-position model. The record is from RNAcentral.
CAGUCGCCACGGUAAUACAGAGGGUGCGAACGUUGCUCGGAAUUACUGGGCGUAAAGCGCGUGUAGGCGGGUCGGCAAGUCAGGCGUGAAAUCCCCAGGCUCAACCUGGGAACUGCGCUUGAAACUGCCGGUCUUGAGUAUCGGAGAGGGUGGCGGGAUUCCUGGUGUAGAGGUGAAAUUCGUAGAUAUCAGGAGGAACACCGGUGGCGAAGGCGGCCACCUGGACGAUAACUGACGCUGAGACGCGAAAGCGUGGGGAGCAAACAGGAUUAGAUACCCGCGUAGUCCCUGUCUCUUAUAC